Zalophus californianus (California sea lion) is the source of this 126-nucleotide small nuclear RNA. The record is from Ensembl. Lineage: Eukaryota; Metazoa; Chordata; Mammalia; Carnivora; Otariidae.
GUGUUGUAUGAAAGGAGAAAAUGUUAUCACUCCCAUUGACAAGGAUGGAAGAAGCCCUCUGUCCCAACAACACACAUACAGUUAAGGCAUUGCGACCUACUUUGUGGUAUCUAACCAACGUUUUUG